CGGGGUUGCUAACUCAACGGUAGAGUACUCGGCUUUUCAUUGCGACUAUGAUCUUUGACACAUUUGGAUGAAGGAAUU
Molecule: transfer RNA, 78 nt
Filed under: Oreorchis patens
Lineage: Eukaryota; Viridiplantae; Streptophyta; Magnoliopsida; Asparagales; Orchidaceae
Description: partial tRNA-Lys
Source: RNAcentral